RNAcentral lists this ribosomal RNA (253 nucleotides) under uncultured bacterium. RNAcentral describes it as "partial 16S ribosomal RNA". It matches the Rfam family "Bacterial small subunit ribosomal RNA", at positions 524 to 776 of the family's 1533-position model. The record is from RNAcentral.
UACGAAGGGGGCUAGCGUUGCUCGGAAUCACUGGGCGUAAAGCGCACGUAGGCGGCUUUUUAAGUCAGGGGUGAAAUCCUGGAGCUCAACUCCAGAACUGCCUUUGAUACUGAGGGUCUUGAGUUCGGGAGAGGUGAGUGGAACUGCGAGUGUAGAGGUGAAAUUCGUAGAUAUUCGCAAGAACACCAGUGGCGAAGGCGGCUCACUGGCCCGAUACUGACGCUGAGGAGCGAAAGCGUGGGGAGCGAACAGG